AUACGGAGGAUCCGAGCGUUAUCCGGAUUUAUUGGGUUUAAAGGGUGCGCAGGCGGCCAUUUAAGUCAGCGGUUAAAUCGUGGGGCUCAACCCCAUUCUGCCGUUGAUACUGGGUGGCUUGAUUGCGGUCGAGGUUGGCGGAAUUCGUUGUGUAGCGGUGAAAUGCAUAGAUAUGACGAAGAACACCGAUUGCGUAGGCAGCUGACCAGACCGUAAAUGACGCUCAUGCACGAAAGUGCGGGGAUCGAACAGGAUUAGAUACCCUGGUAGUCCGCACAGUAAACGAUGAAUACUUGUUUUCGGCGAUAUAAUGUCGGAGGCAAAGCGAAAGCGAUAAGUAUUCCACCUGGGGAGUACGCCGGCAACGGUGAAACUCAAAUGAAUUGGCGGGG
RNAcentral lists this ribosomal RNA (392 nucleotides) under uncultured bacterium. RNAcentral's name for it is "partial 16S ribosomal RNA". It matches the Rfam family "Bacterial small subunit ribosomal RNA", at positions 523 to 918 of the family's 1533-position model. The record is from RNAcentral.